AGAAAGAAAUCUUUAUUUAUCUGAAUAAUAAUAAUAAUAAUAAUAAUAAUAAUAAUUAUAUACUGUUAAUCUGAAUAACACCUUUGAAGCAUACAGAGUGAGAGAGGAGACUGGUGAGAAAGAACAGGAGGGACCUCUGAGCAAAUUAAUUCCAUGUACAGCUGCAGGGCAGAUCAGAUGUGUGUAUAUUUUAUUUUAUAUCUAUAUAUAAUAUAUAUACACACAUAUUCUAUAUAAAUUUCAUAAUUUGUCUUUUUACACGUGUGUAUAAGUGUGCGUGUGUAUAUAUGCAUAUAUACACAUAUACAUACAUAUAUGCACGCCCGUGUGUAUAUAAAUAUAAUUACAUGUACAGAUAUAUACACACACCUGGUAUAAAAAAGUUUAGCAGUUUCCUUGGAUUUGAUUUCUGUGUACGUUCUCUAUUUUUCCAUGGCACACAUAAUAUAAAGUAAACAUUUAAUGGUGUAUGGGAGAAGCCAUAUUGAGAGGCGGAGGGGUGUAUUAACUGGUGUAUAGAUAUUCUAUAUUAUAUAUAUAUAUAUAUAUAUGUACAGGAAUCUCCUCUGCUUUUUCGCUGCAGGGGCAGAGUCCAUUUCAUUACCAGUCCCUCAAUAAGAUAUAUAAUAUAUUUUUUUAAUAUU
Non-coding RNA from Pelobates cultripes (western spadefoot toad), 644 nucleotides. NCBI's taxonomy places the organism in Eukaryota, Metazoa, Chordata, Amphibia, Anura, Pelobatidae. The record is from the annotation of a GenBank genome assembly.